Molecule: ribosomal RNA, 457 nt
Filed under: uncultured bacterium
Lineage: Bacteria
Description: partial 16S ribosomal RNA
Rfam family: Bacterial small subunit ribosomal RNA
Source: RNAcentral
CCUACGUGUGGCUGCAGUGGGGAAUAUUGGGCAAUGGGCGCAAGCCUGACCCAGCAACGCCGCGUGAGUGAAGAAGUAUUUCGGUACGUAAAGCUCUAUCAGCAGGGAAGAAAAACAGUCCUUUGGACUUUGGACGGUACCUGACCAAGAAGCCCCGGCUAACUACGUGCCAGCAGCCGCGGUAAUACGGAGGGGGCAAGCGUUAUCCGGAUGUACUGGGAGUAAAGGGAGCGUAGACGGCAGCGCAAGUCUGGAGUGAAAUGCCGGGGCCCAACCCCGGAACUGCUUUGGAAACUGUGCAGCUGGAGUGCAGGAGAGGUAAGCGGAAUUCCUAGUGUAGCGGUGAAAGGCGUAGAUAUUAGGAGGAACACCAGUGGCGAAGGCGGCUUACUGGACUGUAACUGACGUUGAGGCUCGAAAGCGUGGGGAGCAAACAGGAUUAGAUACCCGUGUAGUC